This 405-nucleotide transfer-messenger RNA is filed under the name Patescibacteria group. Its description in RNAcentral is "UBA12470 sp000999315 Standard tmRNA". It matches the Rfam family "transfer-messenger RNA". Rfam says of the family: Bacterial tmRNA, also known as 10Sa RNA or SsrA, is named for its dual tRNA and mRNA-like properties. Its role is to liberate the mRNA from a stalled ribosome. To accomplish this part of the tmRNA is used as a reading frame that ends in a translation stop signal. The record is from RNAcentral. RNAcentral also lists the same sequence under 1 other name.
GGGGAUGUAUUUGGCUUCGAUAGAGGAUUUUAGAUAAGUUCUUUAAUCUCGGCGGUAGUAUCGGUCCCGUCGUAUCCAAAGUUCGAUACAAAAUCUAAAUGCAAACGAAAGUUUAGCAGCGUUCGUCUAUGGCAACCGAGUUGCCGUAGCGGCGUAAGUGUUCUCGGAUUAAUUUCUGAAAACCCGUUUUCCGAGGCAAGGCCUCAUAGUCGCGGCAAAACGUUAUUUUUGAGGAUCGAUCGUUGGGCUUGGAGUUUGGUUCAUACGAUUUAAACUUUUAAACCGGCUUGAAAGGGCUUUUCGCAAGUUCUUUAUCCUUUCUUGCCACACAUUAGAGCUUGAUAUGGAUUUAAACGGAAUUUACUAAACCUUUAGACCCGGGUUCGAGUCCCGGCAUCUCCACCA